RNAcentral lists this long non-coding RNA (1847 nucleotides) under Homo sapiens (human). Its description in RNAcentral is "HSALNT0401683". The record is from RNAcentral. Lineage: Eukaryota; Metazoa; Chordata; Mammalia; Primates; Hominidae.
UGAGGUCAGGAGUUCAAGACCAGCCUGAGCAACACAGCAAGACUCUGUCUCUGCAAAAAACCAAAAACCAAAACCACAGGGCGGGGAGGUCAGACCAGCUGCCUGGAAUCCCAGCCCAGACCCUCACCAGCAUGUGACCCAGGACGGGCCACGUGCUGUCUCCUCAGGAAGCCUCAAUUUUCUCAUCUGGAGACAGGGACAAUGAAUCCCUUCCAGGAUCACUGUGAAAAGACAGGUUGAGCAUCUCUAAUUCGCAAAUCUGAAAUCCGAAAUGCUCCCAAAUCUGAAACUUUCUGAGUGCGGACCUGAUGCCGUCUCGUUCUGUCCAGAUGAAGAUCUCUUCGAGUGGCUACUUGGAAUGCACUCCAGAGGCCCCUGACAUUGAUUCUUCUCUAGACUCAAACUAACCUAGUUACAUGUCCGCCCUCGAACCAGCGGCUGCAGCCGAAGCAAUUUAUGGACAUGUCUCCUCAUGGUUUCAAGACAGCUGCUGUGGCUCCAGGCAUCACACUGGGACAUGAUAAAAUCAAGCAAAGAGGAGGAGGGCAUUUUUUCCCCUGUGUCUCCUUUCAUGAUGGAGAAAAUUGUUCCCAAAUUUCCCCCCUGCAGAUCUGCAGACUUCUUAUUGGCCAAGAUGGCGUUACAUCUAUAAUUCCAAACCAGUCACUGAUGGAGGAAUGAGAAUGACUGCAGUUGGCUUGGACCUAUAACUCACUCUGAAGCCGGGGCGAGGAAUAGCCACCGUCCCUGAGCUCCUGAGUAGAUGCACAACCAACAAAACUGAAUCCCGUCAGCGAAGGAGUCAUGGGUGGGCAACCCGUGCUGUGUCUACCAUAAGCACAACUCCUGGUGCUCAUGAGGUGCCCCCAAAGGCUGGCAUUUGGCAAGCUCAAGACUGGGAGUCCACACAGUGCUCCAGGUGGGAGGAUCACAACCGCGAUUGGCCAGGGAGUCCCUCUGGGUGCCAGACCCCUGUAUGCAAAGCCCCACUCAGCAUCUCCACUUGAUUGGCUUAUGGGAACCUCAAAUCCAACACACUAUAUUUGAACUCAUCAUAUUUCCUCCCCACUGGCCUCCUCUGUUGGUACCCACCUUGCUCAAGCCAGAAGCUGGCUGGUCCUCAGGAGUCCCUGCUUUCCUUCCCCAUCUGUGCCCACGUCUCUCCAGCUCUGCCAUCAUCUUCCACCUGGACACCAACCAAGCCCCCGCUCUCCCUGCUGCUGUGUGGGCAUCAACAGCCUAUGCUGUUCCCUCUGAACGGAACUCUUCCCGCUCCUGUUUCCCUGUCACCUUGCUCAGGAAAGCUCUUCUGAUCCCCCCAAGUUGAAUCCCUCAUUACAAACCUCACAUCCUGACAUACAUCUCUCCAUUGCCCUGAUCAUACUUCUUAUUUACCUGUGUGAUUAUUUCACUCAUGUCUCACCCCACCAGGUUGCAGCUCCAUGAGGGUGGGAAUUGGGUCUGUUUUGUUCACUGAUAACCUUCAGUGCCUGACACAUAGUAGGGCCUCAAUUUUAUUCCUGAAUCCCAUAAAUGAAUAAAUUCAUCCCCUGCCCUGUGGCCAGGGAGAUCACUCUAAGAAGCAAAUCUAAUCACUCCCUCUCCUGCCAUAAGCCUUCCAUGGCUCCCCUUUACCCACAGGACAAAGUCUAAAGGGCUUAACCUGGCUCUUUCAGGCUCCUCAAAGUGGAUUCUGCCACCUCUCCAGCCCCAUCUCACCUGCCCCAUUGUCCUUUACGGUCCAGCCACCCUCUACUCCUUUAGGUGUCUCAAAGUCUGCAUGUUCUCUCCUAUCCCUGGAUUUGCCUAUAUGCUAUGUUUCUCCCGGAAACUUUGUCUCAAAAAAU